Long non-coding RNA from Odontomachus brunneus, 520 nucleotides. RefSeq lists it as uncharacterized. The transcript has 3 exons. The record is from RefSeq and is a predicted model, not a curated record. Lineage: Eukaryota; Metazoa; Arthropoda; Insecta; Hymenoptera; Formicidae.
CUUGUAAAUCGCGUGCGUGUACGUGUUUUUCGACGUGUGUUUUCGUGGCGAGCUUAUAUCAACCGUUUGCGGAAAGCGAGGGAUGACGAGGGGACCACGACGUGACUGAUAAUUUGCUGGUGGAGUACGUACAUACGUAUAUACGCACGCACGCACCUCGUAUGACGGCGUCCUGAAGAGAUCGCGUCGUUGCCCAUGGGAGACCGAGCGCUCCAAAUAUGUUCCAUUCGUGAUACCUACAAGGAUACUAUCUUGAAGAUGAGGGUGGUAAAUAGAACCUGAGGUAAGUCAAUUAAUUUUCAUAAACUUAUUUUUUAUAGUUAUAUUUUGGAAAUUUUUAAGCAGAAUUUCGCAUUACGAAGAACUAUUAAAAAGUUGGGGAACAUUCGGUUUGCACGCUGAAAAAAGUGUGAUAAUAAUCAUUAAACCCGAAUAAUAGUUGCCAAGUGCUUUCGUGAAAUAGUUUCAACUAAACGUGUAGGUGAAUGCAAUCAAAUAAUUUGGUAAUUAUUAAUAAAUA